CGGGCGUGGCACAGGGGCUCUACGGCGCCCCCUGGAACACAGUCAGAAAUGUUGAUGUAUAGUUCAAACAUACUUGCACGUAUUCAUAUGAAACUCAGUACACAUAUAGAUCUCAUCAAGCCAAACAACUUUCGUAUUGCAUGUCAUAGGCUCCGCCCAACAGGAAGUUGGCUAUUUAGGGUUUAGUAUUCUUAUUUUUCGUCAAAGUUGUGGGGGCUUUUGGGGCCCUUAACAUGCUCAAAAACUCUUGAAAAUUUGCACACACCUUAGAAUCUGUGGCCAUUAGGAGGCUGCAGAGGCUGAGACCCGGGCGUGGCACAGGGGCUCUACGGCGCCCCCUGGAACACAGUCAGAAAUGUUGAUGUAUAGUUCAAACAUACUUGCACGUAUUCAUAUGAAACUCAGUACACAUAUAGAUCUCAUUGUGCCGAACAACUUUCGUAUUGCAUGUCAUAGGCUCCGCCCAACAGGAAGUCAGCUAUUUAGAGCUAUGUAAAAAGUGCAUGCUCUGGAAUUUGAUAUACUUGUCAUAGGUUUUUUACCCGAUUGCCACCAAACUUGGUCAACAUGAUCUCAAGACAUUGGGGAUGCAAAAUUGCCAGGGGAUUUUUGAUAUCUCGAACGGUUUGCUUGUGGCGAGGCGUUGAAAUUAUGGCGAGAAAUGAGAAACAGGAAGUGUCUAAUAACAUCCACAUACAUUUCCUGAUUUUAAUUAAACUUCAUCAAUUUGUUCGUUGUAUGAUGCCGAUCGCAUAUAUGUGACUAUUAGGAGUCCAAAUUAUAGCGCCACCAAC
This is a long non-coding RNA of Cyprinus carpio carpio, 794 nucleotides long. NCBI's taxonomy places the organism in Eukaryota, Metazoa, Chordata, Actinopteri, Cypriniformes, Cyprinidae. The record is from Ensembl.